RNAcentral lists this transfer RNA (75 nucleotides) under Planctomycetota bacterium. RNAcentral describes it as "Planctomycetes bacterium (bioreactor metagenome) tRNA-Arg". It matches the Rfam family "tRNA". From Rfam's summary of the family: Transfer RNA (tRNA) molecules are approximately 80 nucleotides in length. Their secondary structure includes four short double-helical elements and three loops (D, anti-codon, and T loops). Lineage: Bacteria; Pseudomonadati; Planctomycetota. The record is from RNAcentral.
GCACCCGUAGUUCAGCGGAAGAACAUCGGUCUUCGGAACCGAGGGUCACAGGUUCGAAUCCUGUCGGGUGUGCCA